AUGGCAAAGUAUAGGUGGAGUAGCUCUCUCGAUCGGUGUUCAACGCACUGGAUGAGUUGGGAGGCUCUCGCACAACCAAAACUCAGAGGAGGGAUGGGGUUCCCAGACUUGGAAUUGUUCAAUAUAGCACUCCUUGGUAAACAUGGUUGGAGGUUGAUGACUGAACCAAACUCUCUGUGUUCUAGAGUGUUAAAAGGACGAUACUUCCCUUCUUGUGAUUUUAUGCAAGCAAGUGCGCCCAAGACUUUUUCGGCGACUUGGCUAGCGAUCAUUGCUGGGAGGAAAGCUCUGAAGGCUGGGCUGGUCAAGCGUGUUGGCAGCGGUACAAUGGUGUCUAUUUGGGAAGAUAAAUGGAUCCCGGAAACACUUACAAUGACCCCUGUAGCCCGCCUGGGAGAUGCACAAAUCAGCUGGGUUGCUGAUCUGAUUGAUGAUGAGAAUUGGACGUGGAAAGCUGAUAUUGUCAGGCAAUCUUUUAUACCUCCGGAUGCUGAGGCAAUCCUUAAUAUACCAUUGAGAACGGGAGGUGGAGAAGAUUUUAUAUCAUGGGUGUUGCGAACGUAG
Molecule: ribosomal RNA, 564 nt
Filed under: Triticum aestivum (bread wheat)
Lineage: Eukaryota; Viridiplantae; Streptophyta; Magnoliopsida; Poales; Poaceae
Description: partial small subunit ribosomal RNA
Source: RNAcentral